RNAcentral lists this long non-coding RNA (1538 nucleotides) under Marmota monax (woodchuck). The record is from RNAcentral. Lineage: Eukaryota; Metazoa; Chordata; Mammalia; Rodentia; Sciuridae.
UAGAAGUUUAUUAAAGGACAGCAGAAAAGACUUCUCCCGGAGGAAGAAGGGGACCCAAGAGGUGGAAUCCGUGGAAGUGCGGUUGUUUCCCCUUUUUAUAGUUUUGGUGAUGGAAUGUAGGUUGGAAGGCCCGAGGGGUGGGACACAGGUGGGCCAAAGAAGUAAUCUGGGCAGGAAGGACUUCAUUAACACUUCUUUGGGAUGGACUUUGGCCUAGGGCCUUUUCAGGACUUCAUUAACAUUCCAUGAGUUGUCCUGCGUUUCCUGGAAUCAUUCUCAGCAUGGCCUCCAUUUUAGAUUUCACUCGGUAUUAGACCCGAUUUAUCUAACUACACUGACUACCUAACUUUAAAUCUGGCUUCACUAUGAGCCUUCAGGGAGAAUGUCACAUCCAAACCAUCACCUGAUGUCGUGCACUUCCCAUGGGAUGCACUCACUGAGACAACACAGCCUGCCACUGUGGCAUUCUCACCAACAGCAUGCCACCAGGUAUCAUCCUGAGGAGAUAUCCGACAUAUAGGAGCAUUGUAAGGCUGUCAAGGCCAUUAAGGACAAGUCAAGUCAGGAAGGUUCCAAACAUGGACAGUGUGGACUGGCUUGGAUCCUGGGCCCACAGAGAACACUGCUGGGAUGAUCCGUGCAGGGCAGAUGGAGACUUGGUCCGAGAGAAGCACUGUGUCCACCUCGCAUCCAGGUGUUGCUGGCAGUGCUGUGGUCAUUUAGGAGAGUGACCUAGUUUUAAACUACUUAAGUGUUUAGGAGUAAUGGGACCUCAUGUCUGAAACCCACUCUCAAAUAGCUCAGAAAAUAAAAUGCAGAUAGAGGAACUGGGAAGACCCGUGGUAGCACACAACUGGGGGCUCAAGGUACAGACCACUUGGAUGUCUAUUGUAGCUGCCUACUAGUUUGAAAUCAUUUCAAAAUUAAAAGUUUGUUUCAAAAGCAUCAAGUUUACGAUGUAAAUCUUUGGAAGAUACAAGGAGAAAUUGAAAUAAAGCAGAAGUCUUAAGUCCACCUUUUAUCCUUGUGAUGUCAAAUUGUAAUAGAGUAAAUAAGGAUGUGGUGAUCCUGAAUAGCAUAGUUGAUAAAUGGUCCUAACUGUCAUGUACCAGGUUGUGUCCUGAAGAGAGUACGCCUUCUUCUCUGUGUCCACAGAAACAUCGAACAUUUAUUUGAUCGUAUUCAUCAGUGUACAAAGAGAAACUCCAUGGAAUGGAUCUGGCUGUUUAUGCCCAUGAGCAGAUGCAGUUGGAAUACACAGCUUUAAGCAUCUGCUCUACCAACCGGUUGGGGUAGGGGUACUUGAUUUUUUGAGUUGCAGAGCUUGUUGUUUGGUUUUUGUUUUACUUUUAAAUUAGUUUGUCUGAAAUAACGUGAAAAUUGAUAGUCACGUGCUUAACCAAAAGUCAUUUUAUUUCAAGCAGCUCUUUAGACUUCAAGUGUCAGAUUGUUCUCAGAAAAUUUCACAUUCAUAUCAUUGUCACUGGUUUUCAUUUUCCUUUGUGUCCAUGUUUCUUUUGGGGGGCACUCGACCCCUG